CCUACGGGUGGCAGCAGUGAGGAAUAUUGGUCAAUGGGCGGGAGCCUGAACCAGCCAAGUCGCGUGCGGGAUGAAGGCCCUACGGGUCGUAAACCUCUUUUGCCGGGGAGUAACGCCCGCCACUUGUGGCGGUCUGCAGGUACCGUGCGAAUAAGGGCCGGCUAAUUCCGUGCCAGCAGCCGCGGUAAUACGGAAGGCUCGAGGGUUAUCCGGAUUCAUUGGGCUUAAAGGGAGCGUAGGCGGGCGUUCAAGUCAGCGGUAAAAUGGCGCGGCUCAACCGCGCCCCGCAGUUGAAACUGGACUCCUUGAGUGGACGAGAGGUAGGCGGAAUGCGUGGUGUAGCGGUGAAAUGCAUAGAUAUCACGAGGAACCCCGAUUGCGAAGGCAGCCUGCCGGGGUGCGACUGACGCUGAGGCACGAAGGUGCGGGUAUCAAACAGGAUUAGAUACCCUAGUAGUC
Molecule: ribosomal RNA, 459 nt
Filed under: uncultured bacterium
Lineage: Bacteria
Description: partial 16S ribosomal RNA
Rfam family: Bacterial small subunit ribosomal RNA
Source: RNAcentral